Long non-coding RNA from Suricata suricatta (meerkat), 1626 nucleotides. RefSeq lists it as uncharacterized. NCBI's taxonomy places the organism in Eukaryota, Metazoa, Chordata, Mammalia, Carnivora, Herpestidae. The record is from RefSeq and is a predicted model, not a curated record. The transcript is spliced from 3 exons.
CUCCUUCCGGCCCACUUCUGGGCAUUUCUCUCCAGCUGCUGCUUCCUCUCAGUCCCAGCAGAGAGGGAACUAACAAGCUUAUUCCAUCUGUAAACUGUCUCCUGAGCCCUGUGUCCCCUCCUGGUGCCAAGAAACCUCCUUCCCUAAUGCUCUGAGUCAGAGCCCAGUCGCCUUAGAAUAGCAGAAGUAGUGAGUCAGGGAGAGAUGAGGGCCCCCGGUAGGGUGGAAAGUGGGGGUCCAAACUAGCCUGGGGAAGUUGAAAGCAAAACUAGAGAGACAUAGGUAAACUUUGCUUUGUGACAUGGCCCAGGUCACUUAACGCAUCUGAACCUCAAUUUCUUCAUAUACAAAGUUGAGCUGGGACGUCAGUGCUAUUUUAUGUGUGGGUUAGUGAAAGUCCUGGAUGGAAAGCACCUCACACAAUGUCCAGCACGCAGGAGGCUUCGGAGAAGGAAGAAGACCGUCAUCCUAAUCAUGUCUUCUUUCAGGUCCAGUGACCUGCUGACCUUUGGCCCCAUGUCCAUGAUACUGGUGUUAAGCAUAACACUGAGGACAAGUAGAAGUAGGGAGUCCUGGUGACUUCUCCAAAGAUGUCACCUCCUCCUAUCUAUUCCCUCUCAGCACUUAUGAGAACAUGACGCUGGAAAUGAAGCUCAGUGUUGUGAAAUUCUGGGUUCUCUUUUUGUCCUAAAUACUUCCGAGUAAAGCCAACCACAGAAGCCGCUCCACAGAGGUAGGAUUUGAAAACCACCAGCUGGUGAAGGGGAAAGAAGUAGCAGUGUGCCAGGCUGAGGAAGCAGGAAGUACUCACAGCCAUUGUGUCCCCUCCUAGCUGCCUGCAGGGCUCUCCCAGGGACUGGUUGGACCCUUUCGGUUUGUCCAACAGGAGUAUGGCCGCCUUUCAGAAAAGCUAGUAUAAGAAAUCCAAACUUUGGAAACCAAAAUGGGGACAAAGGGAUCCCCAUUACACACAAAUGGAUUCUCUGCAAAAGGCUUUCGAUGACGCCCUUCUGCUGUGUAAAAAGAGGCACCCUUGGGUGUAGGCAUGUAAGUAGGCACAGCAAAUCUCCAUACUGGCGUCCUGCGCUUCACAAGGCUGGAUGGCAAAUGUAUGUCUUGGCUCUUAUUUCUCUGUGGGAAAAGUGGAUGCAGACAAUUCCAUCUGCCUCAUGUUCCCAAUCUCGUUGCCUGCUGGCUCUACUCAAAAAUAGUCAAAAGACAGUACUCAGGGGGAGAUUUAAUAAGAUAAUAAUCCUUGCUGCUUCAUCAAGGACGUCCUUCAGUGAAACUGGAAUCUGCAAAUGUGUGGUGGUGAAGAAAACAACGACCAUUAGUAUAGUUUGGUGCCACUGCCUUGGUUCAUGCUACCACAUCAGCAUCUUGGCCCACCAUUGCUUUUGUACCAUUGGUGCAAAUGUCAACAUAGCGAAGAAGGUAAAUAACAUCUUAGUAUUAUUAUGAAAAUAGUUCUAACCUUGAGGGGUCUGCUGCAAGAGACUUGGGGGUCCCCAGGGGCCAGCAAACUCACUUCAAGAACCACUCAACAGGGCUGUUGUAAGGAUCAGACAAAAUAAUGUACAUAAAGCAGUUGGCAUGGUACCUGACACAAUCUAAGUGCUAAAUAAA